Molecule: ribosomal RNA, 253 nt
Filed under: uncultured bacterium
Lineage: Bacteria
Description: partial 16S ribosomal RNA
Rfam family: Bacterial small subunit ribosomal RNA
Source: RNAcentral
UACGGGGGGGGCAAGCGUUGUUCGGAAUUACUGGGCGUAAAGGGCUCGUAGGCGGCCAACUAAGUCAGACGUGAAAUCCCUCGGCUUAACCGGGGAACUGCGUCUGAUACUGGAUGGCUUGAGUUUGGGAGAGGGAUGCGGAAUUCCAGGUGUAGCGGUGAAAUGCGUAGAUAUCUAUCGGAACGCCAAAGGUGAAGACAGGCCGCUGGGCUUGUACUGACGCUGAGGAACGAAAGCGUGGGGAGCAAACGGG